RNAcentral lists this long non-coding RNA (8963 nucleotides) under Gossypium barbadense (sea-island cotton). RNAcentral's name for it is "long non-coding RNA (GBAR_LNC006215)". The record is from RNAcentral. Lineage: Eukaryota; Viridiplantae; Streptophyta; Magnoliopsida; Malvales; Malvaceae.
UAUUAACAAAUAAAAAAAAAGGAAAAAAGAAAAAGCUAUCAUUUUUCUCUCCCCCUUCACCGAAAUAUGCAGCAAAGAAAGGGUUUUGAAGCUGGAAAAUUUCAGCAACAUAUUUUCCUUGCUUGUAAGUGAUUUUAAUGUCUUUGCUUGAUGAUUUUUGUAUUUUUGGAACCCCUAAAGCAUAAGCUUUCAUAAGAGGGAAUUAUUUUGCAAAAUGAUGAAGAGUCUAGGGUUUUACCAUGAGAGUAAAUGUGUUGUUUGCUGUGUUUUUAUGGAAUAUUAUGAGUCCUAGUUGUCUAAUAAACAACUUUUGUGAAAGAAAUUGCAUGAAAAUACCUUUAAAAGGGCUAAAUUGCUAAGUUGUAAAAUGAGUUGUAAAUGUGUAAAAUAGUUGAAAUUAUGAGUUGCUAUAGUUAUGAAAAUGGUUCAUCUAGACUCAAGGAGUAAAGAAAUGUGAUAAAAAUUAAUUUACGAGCAUUGGGGCAAAAGUAUAAAUAUGCAAAAGUUUAGGGGUCAAAAUGAAAAUUUGUAAAAAUAUGAUUUUUAGACCCAUAUGAAUAUUGUGACUGAUUGGUAGGCUAAAUGUGAUGUUAUAGAUGAUGAAAAUUGAGACUUGGACCUAGAACGGAAAGAAAUCGAUUUAUGGACGAGUAUGUCCUUUUCACCUUUGUGGCAUCGAGGUAAGUUCGUAUGUAAACAAUACCAUGCUAUACAUGUAUUUAAAUGUUAUCAUUACAUGAAUUGUACAGAUAUUAAGGUGUAUGUGAUUAAUAGAAAUAUGAUAAGACAAAGCCUUAAUAGACGAGGAAAAAUCCCGUUUGAACCUUAGGAAUAGAAUAGGAUACGAGUGACAUGUCACUAGGAAUUAUGAGUCUAUAUGACUAGCUCGAGAGUGAGCAUUGAAAUGUAAUGAGAUAUGAGGUAGAUUUAGCUACAAUUGAGGCACUUAUGUGCAAAGGCUUUUCCGAGUAUCCAAUUAGUAUUCCAAGUGUUCAACGGGCAAUCCAAGGAAAGAGUUGAUGAUGGUCCCAAUGAGGUAAGUCAUUGGUGAGUAUGCACUCGAGUUAUGUUACGAGUUGUGCAAGUAUGUAUACUAAUCCUAUGAGAAUGCCUUGAUAUGUGAUGAUCUAUGAUACAUAAUAUGUGUUCUUACCAUGAUGGAUAAAAUGGUGUUGUAUUAAUAUUAUGAACGAUGACCAUGAAUGAGUAACUUAGCCUUAACAGAUUUGAGUUAUUGCAGUAGUGUAACUUUGAAAAUACACUAAAAAUAGUGGAAAAUGAGUUAGAGGUAGAAUAAAAUAUGGGAUUAAAGAUUAAUGAGUCUAUUUUCACAUGAAACAAAUAGAGGAAGAAAAAUAAUUCUAUAUUGUGUGAUAUUUAAAUUCUUGUGAAACAGGGUCUGAAUGAAUUUGAGAUCCCCUGUUUUGAUUUUAUAAAUUCGCCGUAAAUUGUACAAAAAUUAUUAAGAGUCAUAACUUACCUGCAUAGAUUCCUUAUUGAGUCUAUUUUUAAGGGAAACAAACAGCAUGGUCAUUGGAAUUCUGUACAUGGAGAAAUUUGAUUCGUAGUACACAGGGGUCAGAGUAGUCAUACCCUGAAAAAAGGGAAAAUUUAACUAAUAAAAUGUACUAAAUGGAUUUACCAAAAAUUCUAGAAAAAUAUUAGUAAGUAGAAAUAUGAGUCUAGUUUCAAGAGAAAUAGACGAGAACAUUAUUCGAAUCCUGUACUAUGAGAUAAUUGAACUUUAGUGCAGAAGGGUUGAAAUUAUCAGACAGUGAAUCAGGAGCAAACUUGAGGAAUAAAAUGUACUAAUUGGCUAAUUCAAAAAUUCUGGAAAUUUUAUGAAAGAAAGAUAAAUGAGUCUAGUUUCAGGUAAAAUUAACGGAACUUAAUUUUGAGUUUUGUAGCUCCAGAUAUAAAUAAUUUAGUGACUGUUGAGCAGGAAGACAGCUUGUAGUGAACUUGAGAAUAUGUUGUAAACAUUGAUAAAACAAGUUAAUGAGUUGCUUAUUGUUUUCAUAUGAACUUACUAAGCGAAAGCUUACCCCCCUUCUUUCCCAUGUUUUCUAGAGUUUCCAGGUUAGCUCGGGUUGGAGGCCGUCAGAGAUAUUAUCACCCUAUCGAGUUAACGUUAUCUGAGUAAGUAAACUCAAGUGAUUCGAGUCUAUGGCAUGUAUAGGGUUUUAAUGUGAGUAUGUAAUAUUAUGAUUUAGCCAAAGGCAUUGGCUUGUUAUUAAGGUAGUAUUAGUCAUGUAAAUUGGCCUAUGUUGGCUAAUGACGUUAUGGGCCUAUAUGAUUAUUCUUAUGCAUGUAUAUUAUUAUCUCUUGUGAUGUGGCUUACAACAUGUAUGCCUGGAGAUUGAAUUGAGAUUCAUUGAUGAGCUAGUAACUAAUGCAGGAUUAAGUGAUUGGUAAAUAGUUAAUAAUGCUUCAUGAAUGGUUUGUGAUGUAAUGAUAGUUAUGUCUAGUAUGUGGUAAUGAUAUGGGCAAAUUCUAUAAUAUUUAUUGCAUAAGAAAAUAACUUGAGCAUAACAUGUUUGUAGAUGUUUAAGAGCUCAUUUAUGCCACGUUGUAUUUUAUUGGAUAAGUAUGUAUCUAUGCAUGUGGUGUGAGAGUGACAAAAGGCUUGAUAAUUAGCCUAUUUCUGGCCACACGGCCUGAGCACAUGGGCGUGUGAAGCCUUAACGCAAGAGAUUUUUCUAAGUUUUUCAUGAGUUUUCGAUUGGGUCCCGAACCGCCCCGAAUGCAUGUAUUGGGCCUCGUAAGCUCGCAUAAGGGACAAAUUACAUGUGAAAAGAAAAGUUUUUAAUUAUUUGAGAUUUUAUGGCCCUAUUUAGUAUGAAAAUGUUAGUAAAAGUCAGGUAGCACCUCGAACCCCGUCCCGGCGUCGGAUGCAGGCGAGAGGUGUUACAUUUAGUGGUAUCAGAGCAUGGUUUAGUCGGUUCUCAGACUAACCUAGCGUAAGAGAGUCUAGCUAUACAUGCCAUAGUAUUACUCGUGAUAGUGUGAUAUCUCUCGGCCCUAACAAAACUGUUGAUUAAGACAGGAAUGAGUUCCAACCGAGCAAAUCUUGAUAGAGAUAAGAGUAAAGUUGAGAUUAUUGAAUCAUGCUUAUGAUAUGCUGAAAAUUGGGAAAGGUAUGAAAAGAAAUCCAUGAUUUUUUUUAUAUGAACUAGUUUUCAUUAUGUGAUACUCUUUAGAUAAAGAAUGUGAAAUAGUGGAGUAAAACACAGUUAAGUUGUGAAAAAACGCUUUUAUGCAUGUUAGUAUUCAUACGAUGUUAAAUGUCCAACUUGAUUUGGCCAAGUGUUUAGGAAAAGAAAGAAAUUUGCUUGAAAUGACAGAAUGUAUGUAUGAAUGCUUUUAUUGCAUGAUUAAUAAUUAGUAUAUACAUGAGGUUGACAUUUAUGUCUAGAUUGAUGAAGUCAAGAUGCAGUAAUGUUAUGCUUUAUAAUCUCAGUUACAGAAUCAUAAAUGUCACAAUAGCAUGAAAGUUGUAAUGAAAGAUCAAAUUGGGUGGAACGCAGGGAAUGAGUACGAUCGUUCACUAAUGAAUUGACGGAAAAGACCAUUGUUGGACCAUGGCAAUACAUGAGAUUUGUAUGCCAGUGUAAGACCAUGUAUGGGACAUGGCAUCGGCAUUGAGACAAGGGCUAGUGUAAGACAUGUUUGGGACAUGCAUCAGCCACAGUAUGAGAUCCAGUGUAAGACAUGUCUGGGACAUGCAUCGGCCUCGAGAUGUUAGCCAAUGUCAGACAUGUCUGGGACAUGCGUUGGCUACGGGAUGUGCUAGUGUAAGACAUGUCUGGGACAUGCGUCAGCACGGUUACAUGUGUCAGUGUAAGACCUGUCUGGGACAUGGCAUCGGCACAGAUGGACGAGAGCUAGUACAAGACCAUAGUUGAACUAUGGCAUCAAGUAGCGAUGUACUCAAAAACCAUAAGACGUUCUCCAAUUUGAUAAAUAUUGGCAAGUGAUUAAGACUAAAUAUGGAAAUUUGAUAAAACAUUAAGGGUAAUUUGAGAAAAAGAAAUGAAAGUUUGAGUUAUGAUAAAUUCACUUAUGUUUAGCUAAUAUUCGCACGAAAUAAAGUUGCAUGUAUUACUGAGAUAUGUGAAAAUGUGUUCAUAACAAGUUGGAAAUUUGAAAUGUUUGAAUUGAUGUGUGUAAUGCUAUGUUGUUGUUGAAUAUGUAUUUGCUUGAGAGUCAAAAGUUUAGAGGCUUUACAAUCUUCGCCCCCUUACUAGAAUAGAGUUAUACGAUGAGAUUUUCGAGAGAUAUGUUGCAUAUGCUUGCAAAAGUGAAACUGAAGAGUACAAUAAUGGAAUAGUAUGAGAUUAGCGAAGACAGAAUUAGUUAGAGGAAUAAUGUCGGACUUGCACAGAUGUCUGAAUAUGACGGAUUCAAUUAAAUAAAGUGAUGGCUAUCUUUCUCUUCUGAGUAUUCUAUGUUUUCCUCUAUUCUGGGGAAUACGUAUGGUUAUCCCUUUCGAAUGGAAAUUCUAUCGUAUGAAGAUGCUAGUGACUAUGAUAUUAGAUGAAAAGUUCUAUUGGUCCAGUUAGUUAUGAUCGACAUUUCCCCAUCUCUUCAGAUUUCUAUUCUGAUAUACUGGAAUGAAGUUGAUAGUAAAAAUCUAUAUGAGAUUAUUCUGAUGUUCUAUUGAUUAUGGUUUAUAUAUAUUGGAGAAUUAUAUUAUCUCUGUUACGAGAAAUUCUAGAGCGUACAGACAGUAGUUUCCUUCUGGUUUUCUCUGAGGGAUUUUCUGGAUCAUAUUUAUUAUUUUCUUCUGGAUUAUAUUCUCGGAUUUCUGGUAUAGUCUUUAUAUCUUGGAAUUUCUUAUAUUGGCUUUUCUCUCGUUCUUGUUUCAAGAAUUAUCAAGCUUGGCUUAUCUUUACGAGUAAUCUUUGACUUGCGAUAUUAGAAUCUGUUAUGAUUAAGCUUCUGGCUCGACCAUAGAAGUGUGAGGAUUUCAGUGUCGAGAUUUCUUUAAAAUUCCUGGGGUAAAGAAUGGUUAUUCUGCAAAAGUAAAUCUGAGUUAUGUGCAUUUAAGUUUAUUCUCUGGUUCGAGAAUACCGUUACGUGUUCUUUGGUAAGUAGUCGUACAGUCAGAAAUGAUGGGGUUUUAUUCUUGAAAGUAUGUUAUGGAAACAUAUUAGUUGGAUUUCUCUUGUUCGAGAGAUGUUAUAAGUAUAGUUAUCCUGAUUAAUAAAAAGACCACAUCUAUGAAGUUGGAAUCAUUUGAUUCAUGUUAGUAAAGUUUCUAAACAGUUGAUGAUCAGAGUAUAGAAAUGUGGCUAUAAGUGGUAAAUUGAACAAGUACAGCAUGAUUCGACUUUUAAUUUGGAAUUGCAGGGAGGAUUUGAUUUCUGGUUUCUAUUACUAUUAAUUCAGAGUAAGAUUUCAGUACUGAGAAACUCUGGGUAUACAGAGAAUUGAGUACAGAGUUCACAGCAGUAUCUUGUCUAUUCAUUCAAAGGAUGUCGAAUUGUCUAUAGGGUAAAGCCGAAUAUCAAAUGUAUUCAUGAUUAUUAUUGUCAGUGAUGACAAUGGGAAGAAAAUGAGAAAAGGCUGUUAUGAAUUUCGUAUCGGGAUGUCUCUCAUUUCCAGGAAAAAUGAGAGAUGCAAGUUGAAUUGUGAAAGAUUGAUGAUGGAAGUCUGCAUGAUUAUUUUAGUAUGUACAGAUAUAUUAUUCAACAGAUGUGACUGAGUUGUAUGUUUCUGAGUUUAUAGUUCCAAGAAUGUCAGUCUCCAGUGUUUCAAAUUGAGCUUUGAGGUUUAUACCUCAACUAUGGAAAAGCUAUAAGAAAUCUUGAGUAUGAGCUUGUGCGGAGUUGUUUUGUAAGUUGUGAGAAAAAGAUAUAAGUGACUCGUGAAAGUAGAGAACAACUUUUUCUGGUAAGAUUUUCGGGGACGAAAAUCCUUAAAGGGGGGAAGAAAUGUAACAACCCGAUUUUGGGCCUAGUCGGAACAGUGGUUUCGGGACCACUAUUCCGAGGCCAGAGAAAAUUAUUUUAGUAUUAUUUUAUGUGUUAUAAUAUGAUUUUAUAAGUGCAUGUUAAUUUUGGUAUAUUAAUUUUAGCGAUUUCUAGUCCAAUUUCGAAAAAGGACUAAAUCGCGUAAAAAGUAAAAGUUGUGUUUUAAUACCUAAAGGUGUUAAAUUGCCUUGUAUCUUAAAUUGGGGUCUUUAAAGUGAAAUUAGGUCAUUGAAAGUGUGAUGGCCGGCCAUGGGAGACAAAAUAGUUGAAAAGUCAAAAUUAGACAAAAUAGUUUUGUUAUUAACAAAUAAAAAAAAGAAAAAAGAAAAAGCUAUCAUUUUUCUCUCCCCCUUCACCGAAAUAUGCAGCAAAGAAAGGGUUUUGAAGCUGGAAAAUUUCAGCAACAUAUUUCCCUUGCUUGUAAGUGAUUUUAAUGUCUUUGCUUGAUGAUUUUUGAAUUUUUGGAACCCCUAAAGCAUAAGCUUUCAUAAGAGGGGAUCAUUUUGCAAAAUGAUGAAGAGUCUAGGGUUUUACCAUGAGAGUAAAUGUGUUGUUUGCUGUGUUUUUAUGGAAUAUUAUGAGUCCUAGUUGUCUAAUAAACAACUUUUGUGAAAGAAAUUGCAUGAAAAUACCUUAAAAAGGGCUAAAUUGCUAAGUUGUAAAAUGAGUUGUAAAUGUGUAAAAUAGUUGAAAUUAUGAGUUGCUAUAGUUAUGAAAAUGGUUCAUCUAGACUCAAGGAGUAAAUAAAUGUGAUAAAAAUUAAUUUACGAGCAUUGGGGUAAAAGUACAAAUAUGCAAAAGUUUAGGGGUCAAAAUGAAAAUUUGUAAAAAUAUGAUUUUUAGACCCAUAUGAAUAUUGUGACUGAUUGGUAGGCUAAAUGUGAUGUUAUAGAUGAUGAAAAUUGAGACUUGGACCUAGAACGGAAAGAAAUCGAUUUAUGGACGAGUAUGUCCUUUUCACCUUUGUGGUAUUGAGGUAAGUUCGUAUGUAAACAAUACCAUGCUAUACAUGUAUUUAAAUGUUAUCAUUACAUGAAUUGUACAGAUAUUAAGGUGUAUGUGAUUAAUAGAAAUAUGAUAAGACAAAGCCUUAAUAGACGAGGAAAAAUCCCGUUUGAACCUUAGGAAUAGAAUAGGAUACGAGUGACAUGUCACUAGGAAUUUUAAGUCUAGAUGACUAGCUCGAGAGUGAGCAUUGAAAUGUCAUGAGAUAUGAGGUAGCUUUAGCUACAAUUGAGGCACUUAUGUGCAAAGGCUUUUCCGAGUAUCCAAUUAGUAUUCCAAGUGUUCAACGGGCAAUCCAAGGAAAGAGUUGAUGAUGGUCCCAAUGAGGUAAGUCAUUGGUGAGUAUGCACUCGAGUUAUGUUACGAGUUUUGCAAGUAUGUAUACUAAUCCUAUGAGAAUGCCUUGAUAUGUGAUGAUCUAUGAUGCAUAAUAUGUGUUCUUACCAUGAUGGAUAAAAUGGUGUUGUAUUAAUAUUAUGAACGAUGACCAUGAAUGAGUAACUUAGCCUUGACAGAUUUGAGUUAUUGCAGUAGUGUAACUUUGAAAAUACACUAAAAAUAGUGGAAAAUGAGUUAGAGGCAGAAUAAAAUAUGGGAUUAAAGAUUAAUGAGUCUAUUUUCACAUGAAAGAAAUAGAGGAAGAAAAAUAAUUCUAUAUUGUGUGAUAUUUAAAUUCUUGUGAAACAGGGUCUGAAUGAAUUUGAGAUCCCUUGUUUUGAUUUUAUAAAUUCACCGUAAAUUGUACAAAAAUUAUUAAGAGUCAUACCUUAACUGCAUAGAUGCCUUAUUGAGUCUAUUUUUAAGGGAAACAAACAGCAUGGUCAUUGGAAUUCUGUACAUGGAGAAAUUUGAUUCGUAGUGCACAGGGGUCAGAGUAGUCAUACCCUGAAAUAGGGGAAAAUUUAACUAAUAAAAUGUACUAAAUGGAUUUACCAAAAAUUCUAGAAAAAUAUUAGUAAGUAGAAAUAUGAGUCUAGUUUCAAGAGAAAUAGACGAGAACAUUAUUCGAAUCCUGUACUAUGAGAUAAUUGAACUUUAGUGCAGAAGGGUUGAAAUUGUCAAACAGUGAAUCAGGAGCAAACUUGAGGAAUAAAAUGUACUAAUUGGCUAAGUCAAAAAUUCUGGAAAUUUUAUGAAAGAAAGAUAAAUGAGUCUAGUUUCAGGUAAAAUUAACGGAACUUAAUUUUGAGUUUCGUAGCUCCAGAUAUAAAUAAUUUAGUGACUGUUGAGCAGGAAGACAGCUUGUAGUGAACUUGAGAAUAUGUUGUAAACAUUGAUAAAACAAGUUAAUGAGUUGCUUAUUGUUUUCAUAUGAACUUACUAAGCGAAAGCUUACCCCCUUCUUUCCCAUGUUUUCUAGAGUUUCCAGGUUAGCUCGGGUUGGAGGCCGUCAGAGAUAUUAUCACCUUAUCGAGUUAACGUUAUCGGAGUAAGUAAACUCAAGUGAUUCAAGUCUAUGGCAUGUAUAGGGUUUUAAUGUGAGUAUGUAAUAUUAUGAUUUAGCCAAAGGCAUUGGCUUGUUAUUAAGGUAGUAUUAGUCAUGUAAAUUGGCCUAUGUCGGCUAAUGACGUUAUGGGCCCAUAUGAUUAUUCUUAUGCAUGUAUGUUAUUAUCUCUUGUGAUGUGGCUUACAACAUGUAUGCCUAGAGAUUGAAUUGAGAUUCAUUGAUGAGCUAGUAACUAAUGCAGGAUUAAGUGAUUGGUAAAUAGUUAAUAAUGCUUCAUGAAUGGUUUGUGAUGUAAUGAUAGUUAUGUCUAGUAUGUGGUAAUGAUAUGGGCAAAUUCUAUAAUAUUUAUUGCAUAAGAAAAUAACUUGAGCAUAACAUGUUUGUAGAUGUUUAAGAGCUCAUUUAUGCCACGUUGUAUUUUAUUGGAUAAGUAUGUAUCUAUGCAUGUGGUGUGAGAGUGACAAAAGGCUUGAUAAUUAGCCUAUUUCUGGCCACACGGCCUGAGCACAUGGGCGUGUGAAGCCUUAACGCAAGAG